Heterocephalus glaber (naked mole-rat) is the source of this 534-nucleotide long non-coding RNA. RefSeq lists it as uncharacterized. The record is from RefSeq and is a predicted model, not a curated record. Lineage: Eukaryota; Metazoa; Chordata; Mammalia; Rodentia; Bathyergidae.
UCAGAAACCAUCCUUUCCUCCGCUGAGCUAAAGGAACAAUCAGAUUUUCCCCAGACCUCUGGGAAUGGAGCCAAUCAUUCCAAAUCGAAGACCAACUCUGACCAGUCCUUUCCCAGUCUGUUGGGACUUGCGCUGACCACUGGCUCAGCCCCAGUUCUAAAGCUUCCAUGACCAAAACAGAACCCAGGGUUUGUCUAAAGGUAGCAGAGGAUCAUCCUACCCUCACCUCCAUGAGUGACACUGAUUUGCACCGUGUGGUUCCCGAGGAAAUUUUUAUUCAACCACCAGCAGCAAUACUAUCUCUCCCAGGACCUAUUCUUUCCCUUUGGAAGCCUCUUGUGAAUAAAACUGCUACCAGACCAUGAAUAAAUCAACAUUUCAAUACUAUGUCCUCCUGGAUCUCCUCUUUCUCUUCAGCUCUUCUUUUUUCCCUUAAAUUCCUCCCCAAAUUGUUAUACAGGUGGAUACUUCCCUUUCCACCCCCCUCAUCAAGUCUCUGAAAUAAACUGACAAUAAAUCAUGAUCAGCAGAUGA